GAUGAACGCUAGCUACAGGCUUAACACAUGCAAGUCGAGGGGAAACGGCAUCGAAAGCUUGCUUUUGAUGGGCGUCGACCGGCGCACGGGUGAGUAACGCGUAUCCAACCUGCCCAUCACUUGGGAAUAACCUUGCGAAAGUAAGACUAAUGCCCAAUGACAUCCCACGAAGGCAUCCGAAUGGGAUUAAAGAUUUAUCGGUGAUGGAUGGGGAUGCGUCUGAUUAGCUUGUUGGCGGGGUGACGGCCCACCAAGGCAACGAUCAGUAGGGGUUCUGAGAGGAAGGUCCCCCACAUUGGAACUGAGACACGGUCCAAACUCCUACGGGAGGCAGCAGUGAGGAAUAUUGGUCAAUGGGCGAGAGCCUGAACCAGCCAAGUAGCGUGCAGGAUGACGGCACUAUGGGUUGUAAACUGCUUUUAUAAGGGAAUAAAGUGGGUCACGUGUGACUUUUUGCAUGUACCUUAUGAAUAAGGACCGGCUAAUUCCGUG
Molecule: ribosomal RNA, 492 nt
Filed under: uncultured bacterium
Lineage: Bacteria
Description: partial 16S ribosomal RNA
Rfam family: Bacterial small subunit ribosomal RNA
Source: RNAcentral